This 21-nucleotide non-coding RNA is filed under the name Arabidopsis thaliana (thale cress). Lineage: Eukaryota; Viridiplantae; Streptophyta; Magnoliopsida; Brassicales; Brassicaceae. The record is from RNAcentral.
UGAAACAUAAUCUAGGUUGUA